GGCCCUGCGAGCGCGGCUCCGCCCCGGGAGGCGGCAGCUGCCGAGCGGCGGUGAGCGCCGGAGCAGGUCGGUGGGGAGGCGGCCGGGCGGUGGCGAGCGGAGGAUGGCGGUGGCGGGGCCCGGCCUGGAACGGAACCAGGAAAGUAAUGUUGCAAACAAGCUGGCAAGCACCCAAGCUGAGUAAGAUCAGUGUCUGGAAGAAUCUAAAGAGGUGAACUGCAAUUUUAACUGAGUCUCAGUGUCAGAAAUGUUCACAGAGCUUCCAUAAGCAAAGGAAAGGAAAAAUAAAGGACAACAAACAGAUCAGCAUGCUGAUUUGAGAGGUGCAUGAAGAAGACACCUCUGCCUUUGAUCUCCAGACACAAUAGACCUGAUUUUCAAGAGGGGACAAGUCCUGGAAGCUUCUCUGGGAGUCAGCAGGAGCUGCUGGAGCUGAAGAUCAAGAUUUUUGAUAGAAGAUGUGGGCACAGACACAAAGGGUCCAGAAACAGAAGAGCAAACCUGCUGCUGUGUCAGGAGAGAGGGACCAAGUUGUGCGUAGGACAGCAUCUCCCCACUUCACAGCACACGAAGGUGGGUUGGAAUUGCCUUGCCUUUCUCAUUGCUCACACAUUAAGCUGGAUCAAUAUGUCUCUGCACUGGGAGCACUUGCCAGCCUCAGCAGCGCUGUUCUGCUCUCUACUUUGCCCAUCUAGAAAAAGUCAGCACCUUUUAUUCCUUGGGAUUUCUGCUCAAAACUCAUCUCUGUGGCGUAACAAUCAGUUUGGGAAUAAGCCAUGAGGGGGAUAGCGUCUGGCUGAGAAAUGUACUCCUUGUUUUCUACUCCCCAGCAAGCCUACUUCUUCAUCUUUUAUUUCUUGCCCUCUGUGUGCCAGUUUCCCUUUGGGAAGAGGAGGAAGAAUUGCUGCUAUUAUACAUGGACACUGUGUAGAGUCCCCUUCAGUGAUCCCCACCUAGAUUAUUAUUAAUGUUGUAAACUAUCAUCAUCCUUCUGCAAACCCCAGGAGAAGCUCCUGGGGAACAAAACAACCUUGGAUUGAUGCUCAGCACAAAUGCAAAGCCCAAAUUAACGAGUGCUAACCCUUCCUGUGUUAUCUCUAUUAAACAAUAUUUUAAUCAACA
Molecule: long non-coding RNA, 1122 nt
Organism: Pogoniulus pusillus (Red-fronted tinkerbird)
Lineage: Eukaryota; Metazoa; Chordata; Aves; Piciformes; Lybiidae
Exons: 5
Source: RefSeq, a predicted model, not a curated record